RNA transcript from Abrus precatorius (Indian licorice), 3502 nucleotides. It is a transcript of the gene named protein MICRORCHIDIA 6, with no coding region annotated. The record is from RefSeq and is a predicted model, not a curated record. The transcript has 18 exons. Lineage: Eukaryota; Viridiplantae; Streptophyta; Magnoliopsida; Fabales; Fabaceae.
UCUGCUAGCUAGCGAUCCAGACUACACACGCUCAAAGCAUCUUUUAUUCGUUUUACCAAGUAAAAAAAGAAAGGUCCAUCGGAAUCGGUUUAAAUAUGGGUCCUACAGAAAUUGUGGAUUUAUCUAGUGAUGAUGAAAGUGAAAAAGGUGGUUUCAAACCUGUUAAGUUGGAGGCAGAUUUUAUUAUGGAUUCAGAGCAACAUAAUGAGACUCACAAAGGUCAACUAGCCAAGCGGAAGAGAUCUCGAAGUCAUGCUACUGGACCAGAUUCUGAAGAAAAUAUAAGUUCUACUGGUCCAAGUACAGGUCAUAGUAACUCCAGUGUGUUGGAGCAGGGAUUGUCGCCAAUUGAUGACACGGGCAUUUCAUACGCCUCACCCAUAUGUGCAGCACCCAUUUGUAGGCAGUUUUGGAAAGCUGGAAACUAUGAUGACAGGCUUGGUUCUAAAGUCACAGUCCAAAAUGCUAAAAACUAUCUACAUGUACACCCCAUGUUCCUUCACUCAAAUGCCACAUCACAUAAGUGGGCAUUUGGUGCCGUAGCUGAGCUUCUGGAUAAUGCAGUUGAUGAGGAUAGAUCCAAAAUGGGGCUACAUUUGUCAUUGUAGAUAAAACUUCAAAUCCAAGGGAUGGAAGUCCAGCAUUGUUGAUUCAAGAUGAUGGUGGUGGAAUGGAUCCAGAGGCAAUGCGUCGUUGCAUGAGUUUUGGAUUUUCAGAUAAGAAGUCACAGUUUGCUAUUGGACGGUAUGGAAAUGGCUUCAAAACCAGUAGUAUGAGGCUUGGUGCAGAUGUCAUAGUGUUCAGUCGCCAUUUGAAUAAUCGGUAUGGGUCAACAUUUGAAUAUAUGACUGGGUACUGAAGUUGGUUAAAGCAAUGAGUCUCCUGCUGUAUUGACAAUCACUGUUUUAUCCUCUUAGGUGUGAUUAUUAAAUUAUAUUCUGAAGGCCAUAUCCACUCAAACGUAUUUAUUUUGUUAAUGUUAAUUUGGAACUUAAUUUUUACAUUGAUUUUCUGAUAGGAAUAACUGAAUAACUUCCCAUUUCUUUUUAAUAGCCUUGGAGAAAUGUGAUAGAACCAAUGUUAUCAAUGGUGGAUGGCGGGUCAUGAUGAAAACCCAGAAAAUUACCAUAAAGCUGAUACCUUUUUAUACAUUAUAGUUUCUAGCAACUGUUGCUCCCUUUAUUCACAUGACAGUAAUGUAGGGAGGUUUUCUGACAAGCCAACAAUAUGUGAAGUUAUUGGGGAAAAGUGAAAUUGUUAUUCUUUUUUGUGUUCCUUACUUUUGUAUCUUGAUCAGGAUUUUGACUCAAAGUAUUGGACUUCUGUCAUAUACGUAUUUGACACGAACACAUCUUGACAGAAUAGUAGUGCCCAUGGUAAGUGGCGUCUCUCUUUUUUAACUACAUGAAAGUUUUAUGGUUUAAAUGCUACUUCUCCGGAUAUUGUCACCCAACUUUGUGCAGUGACUUCAAUUGCUACUUUUCUUCUCUGCUAAUUUGAUUCCAUAAAACUUGAAAUUCUUACUGGUAUGGUGGUUCUAGAGAAUUGAUAAUAGGCAAUUAUCAUGUGAUUAGUUUUCCUUCUCUUUUGAUUGGCAGUAGAUUUCUGCAUUUCUUUUUGUUAAUUUUUAUAUUAUCAACAUAUCAAUGUUGUGCUAGAUAUCUUAGCAUAUCUUCAUGACAUGGUAUUAAACCCUUGAAGACCAAGUGGUUAAGAAUUUGAUCCUUGAUGCCCUCAUUCUUCUAAAUGAAGUUGAAUUUUAGCACAAUAAGAUGGUGGGCCUGGUGGAUUGCUCAUGGCUUCAUGCUUCUAGCCCAAAUAUGUGAGGCAGCAUGUUAGAUAUAUGAACCAUUAUGAGCCUUCACUUAACAGCUUAAGCUUUUGGAAGAGUUGCUCCUUGACAUUUGACAAUGAUGAUUCAAUACACCGUUUAUACUCUCCAUCUCCUGAUAACUUUUCUGAAGUGAAGGUUCUAGUAGUUUCAAUUUAACUAAUCUUUUGAAUUUCAGGUGAAUUAUGAGUUUAAUACAUCAACUGAAUCAUUGGAAAUAUUAAAUGGCAAUGAGCAUUUUGUGGCUAAUUUAUCCUUGUUGUUGACUUGGUCACCAUAUACAUCGGAAGCAGAUCUUCUGAAACAAUUUGAGGAUAUUGGACCUCACGGUACUAAAGUUAUUAUAUAUAAUUUGUGGUGCAAUGAUGAUGGGAAUUUGGAAUUAGACUUUGAUACAGAUCCUCAGGAUAUUCGUAUUGCGGGGGAUAUCACAAAGAUUGAUUCAAAACAGGGCUGGAAGAAAGUCAAUGAGGAGCACAUUGCUAAUCGGUUUCGUUACUCUUUACAUGUUUAUUUGUCCAUAUUGUACUUGCGUGUACCAGAAAAUUUUCAAAUUAUAUUGCGAGGGCAAGUUGUGAAACCACACAAUAUUGCUGAUGAUCUUAAGUAUCCUGAAUAUAUUUUGUAUAAACCACAAGCUGGCAGAUCUGUAGAGGCAACAGUUGUGACAACAAUUGGAUUUCUUAAGGAAGCUCCUCAUGUCAAUAUCCAUGGUUUCAACCUAUAUCACAAAAAUCGGCUUAUACUGCCAUUUUGGCAGGUUGUAAACUAUUUGGACAGUAGGGGUAGAGGAGUUGUUGGUAUCCUGCAAGCAGAUUUUGUUGAGCCAACUCAUAACAAACAAGAUUUUGAGAGAACUUCCCUGUUUCAAAAACUUGAAGGGCGAUUGAAGGAAAUGACAUGGGAAUACUGGGAUUGCCGUUGUACAUUAAUCGGAUAUCAAGAAAAGAAGAAGCUUCCUGGUCCAUUUACCCCACUGCAUCCAUCACUCCCGAUACCCCCUGGCAUAGAAAAACCAGUCAUACUGAACAAAAGUUCAUCCCCUGUUGACAAUAGAAAAGUAGUAUAUGUAAAUUCUGAACCCUCAGCAAACCGGCAAAUAAGAUCUGAGCAUGGUUCUCAUAGUAAGAGGAAGACACAUGAACUGGUAGACCUUCAGAAUAUGAAAAAACAUGCAAGGGAAGAGAAUGUAACUGGUGUUUGUUUCAGUCAGAAUAAACAAACCAUUGCAAAUCAGGCAGACCAAGUGGUAGACCGAGAGACUACAAACUUGAUGCAAGAAAACAAGAAACUGCAUGCAAAGUGUUCAGAAUUUGAAAAGACAGAAGAACAACUUAAGGUCAAGGUGAUGAAUCUUAGAAGUAAAAUACAAGAAACUCAACGCGAGUAUAAUCGGCUUUUGGCUGAAUUGAGGUCCCUAGACGUGGACGUGAAAAACGAGUAGCUGUGUAGCUGUAACUCUUGCUCAAUUCUUUCGUUUGUAGAAACGAUGUUGUAUGUAUAGCUUAAUCACUUGCAGUCUGCGGCUUACCAGGAUAAAGGAUCAUAAGGUCGAAGUCCAAGGUUUUCAUUUAUCCUAUAUUUAUAUGGAAGUGAGCCACAGCUGAGAUAUUCCUUUUGUACAUGUAAAAUUCUGUGAAUUAUGAGCUAUAAGAAAUUCAUCAUUUGUUG